GGGCCCGCACAAGCGGAGGAACAUGUGGUUUAAUUCGAUGAUACGCGAGGAACCUUACCUGGGUUUAAAUGUAGAUUGCAUGAGAUGGAAACAUUUCUUUCCUUCGGGACUAUUUACAAGGUGCUGCAUGGUUGUCGUCAGCUCGUGCCGUGAGGUGUCGGGUUAAGUCCCAUAACGAGCGCAACCCCUAUCUUCAGUUGCCAUCGGGUCAAGCCGGGGACUCUGGAGAGACUGCCGCCGUAAGGUGUGAGGAAGGGGGGGAUGACGUCAAAUCAGCACGGCCCUUACAUCCAGGGCUACACACGUGUUACAAUGGCCGGUACAGCGGGACGCGUACACAGCGAUGUGAUGCAAAUCUGUAAAACCGGUCGUAGUUCGGAUUGGAGUCUGUAACCCGACUCCAUGAAGUUGGAUUCGCUAGUAAUCGCGCAUCAGCCAUGGCG
This 443-nucleotide ribosomal RNA is filed under the name uncultured Bacteroidota bacterium. Its description in RNAcentral is "bacterial SSU rRNA". It matches the Rfam family "Bacterial small subunit ribosomal RNA", at positions 917 to 1359 of the family's 1533-position model. Lineage: Bacteria; Pseudomonadati; Bacteroidota. The record is from RNAcentral.